RNAcentral lists this unclassified non-coding RNA (405 nucleotides) under soil metagenome. Its description in RNAcentral is "partial contains 5.8S ribosomal RNA, internal transcribed spacer 2, and large subunit ribosomal RNA". The stretch from base 1 to 121 matches the Rfam family "5.8S ribosomal RNA", at positions 35 to 154 of the family's 154-position model. The record is from RNAcentral.
GAUGAAGAACGUAGCGAAAUGCGAUAAGUAAUGUGAAUUGCAGAAUUCAGUGAAUCAUCGAAUCUUUGAACGCACCUUGCGCCCUUUGGCCAUUCCGAAGGGCAUGCCUGUUUGAGUAUCAUGAACACCUCAUCUCUUUAUGGUUUUCCAUGAUGAGCUUGGACUCUGGGGGUUUUGCUGGCUCACAGUCGGCUCCUCUAAAAUGAAUCAGCUUACCAGUGUUUGGUGGGUAUCAUGGGUGUGAUAACUAUCUACGCUUGUGGUUUUUCCACCAGGUAACCCUCAGCAGUGGAGGUUCGCUGGAGCUCAUAGAUGUCUCUCCUCAGUGAGGACAGCCCUUUGAAUGUUUGAUCUCAAAUCAGGUAGGACUACCCGCUGAACUUAAGCAUAUCAAUAAGCGGAGGA